RNAcentral lists this unclassified non-coding RNA (431 nucleotides) under soil metagenome. Its description in RNAcentral is "partial contains 5.8S ribosomal RNA, internal transcribed spacer 2, and large subunit ribosomal RNA". The stretch from base 1 to 120 matches the Rfam family "5.8S ribosomal RNA", at positions 35 to 154 of the family's 154-position model. The record is from RNAcentral.
GAUGAAGAACGUAGCGAAAUGCGAUACGUAAUGUGAAUUGCAGAAUUCAGUGAAUCAUCGAAUCUUUGAACGCAUAUUGCGCUCUUUGGUACUCCGAAGAGCAUGCUUGUUUGAGUAUCAGUAAACACCUCAAAAGAUUUUCAUUUUUGAAAUGAUUUUGGACUUGAGCAAUCCCAACACCAGUCUUCACGGGUCGGCGGAGGGUUGCUUGAAAUGCAGGUGCAGCUGGACAUUCUCCUGAGCUAAAAGCAUAUCUAUUUAGUCCCGUCAAACGGAUUAUUACUUUUGCUGCAGCUAACAUAAAGGGAGUUUGACCAUUUUGGCUGACUGAUGCAGGAUUUCACAAGGGUCGGUAAAACGAUUUUUGUAAAACUCGAUCUCAAAUCAAGUAAGACUACCCGCUGAACUUAAGCAUAUCAAUAAGCGGAGGA